Molecule: transfer RNA, 643 nt
Filed under: uncultured cyanobacterium
Lineage: Bacteria; Bacillati; Cyanobacteriota
Description: partial 16S-23S ribosomal RNA intergenic spacer
Rfam family: tRNA (bases 264-336)
Source: RNAcentral
CAGGGAGACAAAACUGAUUUGAUGUCUGAGUAUUUUGAUCUCAGGCUCUAAUCCUGUCACCUUAGGUCGAUCGGUACCUCAAGUUGAAUUCAAAGAGUAAGUAAGAAAUUAUUUCUCUGAGAGUGUUGAUAACUUCAGUUCCUAAACUUUGUCUAGGUCACACCCAACAAGGGUACUCCUGGGCCAUUAGCUCAGGUGGUUAGAGCGCACCCCUGAUAAGGGUGAGGUCCCUGGUUCAAGUCCAGGAUGGCCCAUUCGUUGUUGGGGGUAUAGCUCAGUUGGUAGAGCGCCUGCUUUGCAAGCAGGAUGUCAGCGGUUCGAGUCCGCUUACCUCCACUGAAACCUACCCUGGUAACUAAAUUCCGGAGAAAUUUUGUUGAUGUGACUUAUAACUGUCUAUUUGAAAAGACCCUAGCUUCUUAUCAUCUUUUUAGAGUUGAUAAUAUGCUGGGCUCGAAUGGAUUUAUUCCAUGAGAAUUCAGUAGAACCUUGAAAACUGCAUAGAUUAAAAAGAAUAAAGCAUCUCAUGGAUGCAUAAUUCUUGGUUAAUAAUUUGGUGUAAAGACUAAAUUAUUAAUACAUAGAAUUCAUGUUUAAUUCUUGAGUAAAAGCCGAGCACAAUUGAUUUUGUGAUUGUAUUAAA